GAUGAACGCUGGCGGCGUGCCUAAUACAUGCAAGUCGAGCGAACAGACGAGGAGCUUGCUCCUCUGACGUUAGCGGCGGACGGGUGAGUAACACGUGGAUAACCUACCUAUAAGACUGGGAUAACUUCGGGAAACCGGAGCUAAUACCGGAUAAUAUAUUGAACCGCAUGGUUCAAUAGUGAAAGACGGUUUUGCUGUCACUUAUAGAUGGAUCCGCGCCGCAUUAGCUAGUUGGUAAGGUAACGGCUUACCAAGGCAACGAUGCGUAGCCGACCUGAGAGGGUGAUCGGCCACACUGGAACUGAGACACGGUCCAGACUCCUACGGGAGGCAGCAGUAGGGAAUCUUCCGCAAAGGGCGAAAGCCUGACGGAGCAACGCCGCGUGAGUGAUGAAGGUCUUCGGAUCGUAAAACUCUGUUAUUAGGGAAGAACAAAUGUGUAAGUAACUAUGCACGUCUUGACGGUACCUAAUCAGAAACCCACGGCUAACUACGUG
This 497-nucleotide ribosomal RNA is filed under the name uncultured bacterium. Its description in RNAcentral is "partial 16S ribosomal RNA". It matches the Rfam family "Bacterial small subunit ribosomal RNA", at positions 28 to 507 of the family's 1533-position model. The record is from RNAcentral.